AGAGAUGAUGCUGUGAUACCAAAUGAUUUUAGACCUAUGUCCCUUUUGAACUGCACCCUGAAGAUCUUAACCAAGCUGUUGGCCAACAGACUACAAAGCAAGAUACUCAAGCUCAUUCAUCCCAACCAAUAUGGGUUUCUCUCUAACAGGUGCAUUCAAGACUGUUUAGCUUGGUCCUAUGAAUACAUUCACCAAUGCCACCAAUCAAAUGAAGAUAUCAUUCUUUUGAAAUUGGAUUUUGAAAAGGCAUUUGACAUGCUCAGUCAUGAUACUAUUAUUGAUAUUAUGGAAGCCAAAGGUUUUGGAAAUAGGUGGAUUAAUUGGAUUCAAAUGAUUUAU
RNAcentral lists this ribosomal RNA (339 nucleotides) under Triticum aestivum (bread wheat). RNAcentral's name for it is "partial small subunit ribosomal RNA". Lineage: Eukaryota; Viridiplantae; Streptophyta; Magnoliopsida; Poales; Poaceae. The record is from RNAcentral.